GAUGCCGCCGGAAGGGUUCCGGCCGAGUGUCUGAAGUAGCACAGCAGGAACAGUCGGCCCCAGAGCUCGGGUGUGGAGCGCAGCUGUAUUCGACAAGCGGUACUCACCCUACUUCCCUGGUGGUACAGUGGUUAAGAAUCCGCCUGCCAAUGCAGGGGACAUGGGUUCAAGCCCGGGUCCGGGAAGAUCCCACGUGCCGCAGAGCAACUAAGCCCGUGUGCCACAACUACUGAGGCUGCGUGCCACAACUACUGAAGCCCACGUACCUAGAGCCCAUGCUCCGCAACAAGAGAAGCCACCGCAACGAGAAGCCCGCGCACCGUGAGGAAGAGUAGCCCCCGCUCGCUGCAACUAGAGAAAGCCCAUGUGCAGCAACACAGACCCAAUGCAGCCAAAGAUAAAUAAAUAAAUUUAUUAAAAAAAGAAAAAAA
Balaenoptera acutorostrata (minke whale) is the source of this 431-nucleotide long non-coding RNA. RefSeq lists it as uncharacterized. The record is from RefSeq and is a predicted model, not a curated record. NCBI's taxonomy places the organism in Eukaryota, Metazoa, Chordata, Mammalia, Artiodactyla, Balaenopteridae. The transcript has 2 exons.